RNAcentral lists this long non-coding RNA (701 nucleotides) under Arachis ipaensis. Its description in RNAcentral is "long non-coding RNA (AIPA_LNC000427)". Lineage: Eukaryota; Viridiplantae; Streptophyta; Magnoliopsida; Fabales; Fabaceae. The record is from RNAcentral.
UUUGAACAAACACAAUAUUAAGAAAAUAAAAGCAGCCAUAAUGUUAUUAACAUAUUUAAAAUCCUUUAAUGCAGCAACACUGAGCGAUUUCUGUGUCAUCACACACGCCACGUUGGAAAUUCUUACGAACACAGUCAUUAUUGCACCUUUGUUUAUCACAUUUUAGUCGAAACAUGCAAAUCGAUAUUUGAUCAGGCCCUGCCGUUGUGCCACUUCUAAUUGCUUCUGCAGUGAUAACAAUUAAACAUAAUGUCAUUAGAAUUUGUGUGUGGAAUUUAGAGCUGCGGUUCGAUGGGAUUUCUAUUUAUUUAUUUAUUAGAGGAGAAAAACUAAUUUUGGGAAUGUAAUUUUAGUUACUUUAAUUAAAAUGAUUAAAAAAAUGGUGGUUGUUUACACGAAUCCAAGAUAUUUUCAUGUGAAAAUGAUAUCAUGAAUUGUUAGAUUAUUUAAUAAUUCAUAAUACUAUUUUUAUAUAGGCAUACUUUUAUAAGAGUAGGCACCAAAUAAAAUUAAUAAAAGAUAAUUUUUGUAACUAUCUUUUGUUCAAAGAGUAACUUGAUUAAGCUAUGAAACAAUUUUAUAGUUACCUGAAGUCAUCAAAAGCAUAUUCACGAAAAGAAUGCAGAAGAAAAACUUUGAAAAUGUGUUGAUAGCCAUUCUAUAAUAAUCACGUUAUGUAUAUUCUCUUGCUUUCUUCAACG